This 497-nucleotide ribosomal RNA is filed under the name uncultured bacterium. RNAcentral describes it as "partial 16S ribosomal RNA". It matches the Rfam family "Bacterial small subunit ribosomal RNA", at positions 28 to 507 of the family's 1533-position model. The record is from RNAcentral.
GAUGAACGCUGGCGGCGUGCCUAAUACAUGCAAGUCGAGCGAACAGACGAGGAGCUUGCUCCUCUGACGUUAGCGGCGGACGGGUGAGUAACACGUGGAUAACCUACCUAUAAGACUGGGAUAACUUCGGGAAACCGGAGCUAAUACCGGAUAAUAUAUUGAACCGCAUGGUUCAAUAGUGAAAGACGGUUUUGCUGUCACUUAUAGAUGGAUCCGCGCCGCAUUAGCUAGUUGGUAAGGUAACGGCUUACCAAGGCAACGAUGCGUAGCCGACCUGAGAGGGUGAUCGGCCACACUGGAACUGAGACACGGUCAAGACUCCUACGGGAGGCAGCAGUAGGGAAUCUUCCGCAAUGGGCGAAAGCUUGACGGAGCAACGCCGCGGGAGGGAUGAAGGUCUUCGGAUCGUAAAACUCUGUUAUGAGGGAAGAACAAAUGUGUAAGUAACUAUGCACGUCUUGACGGUACCUAAUCAGAAAGCCACGGCUAACUACGUG